AGAGUUUGAUCCUGGCUCAGGAUGAACGCUGGCGGCGUGCCUAAUACAUGCAAGUCGAACGCAUCUUCUUCGGAAGAUGAGUGGCGAACGGGUGAGUAAUACAUAGGUAACCUGCCCCUGUGCGGGGGAUAACAGGAGGAAACUCCUGCUAAUACCGCAUAACCAUGAGCACCGCAUGGAGCUCAUGCCAAAUAUCCUUUCGGGGAUAGCGCAGGGAUGGACCUAUGGCGCAUUAGCUAGUUGGCGGGGCAACGGCCCACCAAGGCAACGAUGCGUAGCCGGCCUGAGAGGGCGGACGGCCACAUUGGGACUGAGACACGGCCCAGACUCCUACGGGAGGCAGCAGUAGGGAAUUUUCGGCAAUGGGGGAAACCCUGACCGAGCAACGCCGCGUGAGCGAAGAAGGCCUUCGGGUCGUAAAGCUCUGUUGUAAAGGAAGAACGUCGUACACAGGAAAUGGUGUGCGAGUGACGGUACUUUACCAGAAAGCCACGGCUAACUACGUGCCAGCAGCCGCGGUAAUACGUAGGUGGCGAGCGUUAUCCGGAAUCAUUGGGCGUAAAGAGGGAGCAGGCGGCCGCAAGGGUCUGUGGUGAAAGACCGAAGCUAAACUUCGGUAAGCCAUGGAAACCGGGCGGCUAGAGUGCGGAAGAGGAUCGUGGAAUUCCAUGUGUAGCGGUGAAAUGCGUAGAUAUAUGGAGGAACACCAGUGGCGAAGGCGACGGUCUGGGCCGCAACUGACGCUCAUUCCCGAAAGCGUGGGGAGCAAAUAGGAUUAGAUACCCUAGUAGUCCACGCCGUAAA
RNAcentral lists this ribosomal RNA (804 nucleotides) under uncultured bacterium. Its description in RNAcentral is "bacterial SSU rRNA". It matches the Rfam family "Bacterial small subunit ribosomal RNA", at positions 8 to 806 of the family's 1533-position model. The record is from RNAcentral.